Sorghum bicolor (sorghum) is the source of this 1187-nucleotide long non-coding RNA. RefSeq lists it as uncharacterized. The record is from RefSeq and is a predicted model, not a curated record. NCBI's taxonomy places the organism in Eukaryota, Viridiplantae, Streptophyta, Magnoliopsida, Poales, Poaceae. The transcript is spliced from 2 exons.
UGGCCGUGUCGUCGCCGCCGCCGAUUUGGGGCUUGCGGGGAUUCAGCAAGGGCCGCGCCGCGAAAUACAGGACGAUGAACCCCAGGUCUUCUCCGAUGGUUGCUAGGAUCAGUGAGCACAAAGAGACUAAUAAUAAGCUCGCGCGAACCCGAUCAUACAGUUAAUUCGGGAGUCGUCGCACUCGCACAGCAGCUGUGGUUGCGGGGAAGUUAUUCCUGGUGGGUGCCUCUGCCGUGGUGAUUGAAGGCCGACCGCGCGCAUGGAACCUCAAACGGUACUGGAAGCAAUUGCAUACAAAAAGAAGACCUAGAGCUUUUUGCUAGUGAUCUAGUCCUUCAUGCAAGCAAAGCAUGUGAUAAUGGAGGAGUCAUCAUGAGUAUUCGGGAAGGAAGCUAGCAUGCAUGGGAUCUUAUGGACAUAUAGUUUAGGAAAUUAGAACUAGAUCACGUGCAUCUGGCCUCCUGGCCUCCUGGGGCUCGGCAGAUCCAGUCCACGGAGUGGUCAAGGUCUCCACGCUCUGCAUGUUGCGGCACAGGUGCCUGAAGGUCCCCAAGAUCCACCAUCUCCGUCUCCUAUGAGCUUGUGGCCACCACGACAUCCUCCACGAGUUCGCACGCAGGAGGACGAGGGGAAACUGAGCACUAUGAGGGAGGACGUCGAUCUACUUAGCUCCAUACGAGGCAUCCAUCACUGAGUCCAAGAUAAAUUUCUAACUAGGAACACAUGGAUGAUUCUUAUGUAGAAACGCAUAUAGUGAUUUUUUUUAUACUAAUCAUCGAUAGUACUGUGACAGCUCCCUAUGCGAUUUCUUUUUCAUUGUGCAGAUAGUCCCUAGAAAAGGAACCUGUGGUGGAGAAAUAAACAUCAAGUGAUCUUUGUCAAGGCUCAACAACAACAAACAAAAGAAAUGAUAAAGUAAUUCCAGGAAGAGAAGAAGAGGAGGGUCGAAGAAAGGGCAAGCUGACAUUAAUGCGAGACGAUCAAGGUGCUCGUGGUGGCUAUUUUGAUUAGUCAUGAAAGAUUUUGUUGUGUGAGCAAAUCAUACGAGCUAUGUGUUGUAUAAGCCAACAUCUUAGUUUUGUAGAUACUUGAGGGUAGCUUGAUUAUUGCCUUAGUAUUUCGUGUGAAAUAUUGUACAAGUACAAAUGUUGAAAGUUUCAAUGAAAAUGAUGGGCAAUAUUUAUCAA